This 1695-nucleotide long non-coding RNA is filed under the name Paramuricea clavata. Lineage: Eukaryota; Metazoa; Cnidaria; Anthozoa; Malacalcyonacea; Plexauridae. The record is from RNAcentral.
GAUAAAUAUAAGGAAGAUAAAUAUAAGGAAGAUAAAGAUAAGGAUAAAGAAGACAAAAAGAUAAGGAUAAAGAUUAAGAUAAGGAUAAAGAUAAGGAAGAUAAAGAUAAGGAAGAUAAAGAUAAGGAUAAAGAUAAGGAUAAAGAUAAGGAUAAAGAUAAGGAUAAAGAUAAGGAUAAAGAUUAAAAGAUAAAGAUAAAGAUAAGGAAGAUAAGAUAAGAUAAGGGUAAAGAUAAAGAUAAGGAUAAAGAUAAGAUAAAGAUAAAGAUAAGGAAGAUAAAUAUAAGGAAGAUAAAGAUAAGGAAGAUAAAGAUAAGGAUAAACAAGAUAAAUAUAAAGAAGAUAAGGAUAAAGAUUAAGAUAAGGAUAAAGAUAAGGAAGAUAAAGAUAAGGAUAAAGAUAAGGAUAAAGAUAAGGAUAAAGAUAAGGAUAAAGAUAAGGAUAAAGAUUAAAAGAUAAGGAUAAAGAUAAGAUAAAGAUAAAGAUAAGGAAGAUAAAUAUAAGGAAGAUAAAGAUAAGGAUAAACAAGAUAAAUAUAAAGAAGAUAAGGAUAAAGAUUAAGAUAAGGAUAAAGAUAAGGAAGAUAAAGAUAAGGGAGAUAAGGAAGAUAAGAAGAUAAAUAUAAGAAGAUAAAGAUAAGGAUAAAGAUAAAGAUAAGAAGAUAAAGAUAAGGAUAAAGAUAAGAAGAUAAGGAUAAAGAUAAGGAAGAUAAACAUAAAGAUAAGGAUAAGGAACAUAAAGAUUAAGAUAAGGAUAAAGAUAAGGAAGAUAAAGAUAAGGAUAAAGAUUAAGAUAAAGAUAAAGAAGAUAAAGAUAAGAGGAUAAAGAUAAAAAUAAGGAUAAAGAAGAUAAUGAUAAGAAUAAAGAUAAAGAAGAUAAAGAUAAGGAAGAUAAAGAUAAAGAUAAGGAUAAAGAAGAUAAAGAUAAGGAUAAAGAUAAGGAUAAAGAUAAGGAUAAAGAUAAAGAAUAUAAAGAUAAAGAUAAGGAUAAAGAUAAGGAAGAUAAAGAUACAGAAUAACACUGGAUAGAUGCAUUAAUGAAUAUAUAGAACGAAUACGCCAACUUAUUAUCACUUCCAGCUAGACGUUUGUGGUGUGAACAUGUCCUUUCCGUGCAAUAUAUGUGCCAAAGUAUUUUCAACACACGGCAACCUCAAGCGUCAUACUUUGAAUGCCCAUGGAGACGUUCAAAGCAAACCAGUUGAAAUCUCAGCAGGAUCUACAGUUUUGCAGCAUCCUUUCACAUGUAUCGUAGCUGGGUGUACCCAAAGCGGCAAGACUGUNNNNNNNNNNNNNNNNNNNNGGAUAAAGAUAAGGAUAAAGAUAAGGAUAAAGAUUAAAAGAUAAAGAUAAAGAUAAGGAAGAUAAGAUAAGAUAAGGGAUAAAGAUUAAAAGAUAAGGAUAAAGAUAAGAUAAAGAUAAAGAUAAGGAAGAUAAAUAUAAGGAAGAUAAAGAUAAGGAUAAACAAGAUAAAUAUAAAGAAGAUAAGGAUAAAGAUUAAGAUAAGGAUAAAGAUAAGGAAGAUAAAGAUAAGGAUAAAGAUAAGGAUAAAGAUAAGGAUAAAGAUAAGGAUAAAGAUAAGGAUAAAGAUAAGAUAAAGAUAAAGAUAAAGAUAAGACAAAGAUAAAGAUAAGGAAGAUAAAUAUGAGGAAGAUAAAGAUAAGGAUAAAGAAGAUAAAUAUAAAGAAGAUAAGGAU